Molecule: transfer RNA, 76 nt
Filed under: Sphaerodactylus townsendi
Lineage: Eukaryota; Metazoa; Chordata; Lepidosauria; Squamata; Sphaerodactylidae
Description: tRNA-Ala
Source: RNAcentral
GGAGAUCCCAUAGCUCAGUCUUAAGAGCAUAUGCUUUGCAUGCAGAAGGUACCAGGUUCAAUCCCCAGCAUCUCCA